Long non-coding RNA from Vicia villosa (hairy vetch), 4496 nucleotides. RefSeq lists it as uncharacterized. The transcript has 11 exons. The record is from RefSeq and is a predicted model, not a curated record. NCBI's taxonomy places the organism in Eukaryota, Viridiplantae, Streptophyta, Magnoliopsida, Fabales, Fabaceae.
CCACGUCACUUUUCUCAAUUUUAUGCUCAUUUACACUUCUCAAAUUGCAGUUACGUAUCCUCUUUCUCCUAUUCAUUUCACGUUACAAACUUCCUCCAAAUUCUCUUCAUCAAUUCAUUUCACGUUACAAACUUCCAGCGGUUACUACUCUCCACAUUCAUCUUCCCCAAAUUCUAACCCUAAAUCAAAUACUCAGUAUUUCACACAACCUUUCAUCAACCCUCAUCACAACCAUCACCACAAAUUCAUCAUUGGACCGCAACAGAUUCAUAACGUGCGGAGCACCGUCAUCGGUAACAAAUCUUCAGCAGCAACGAUUGUAAUCUGAUAUACAACGACAUCAUCAGAAAAUCACGGUUGCGACAUCAGAUUCACGAACAACAAUUUGCGGAUCCGCCAACAAGCUUCCAUUCACACCCUGAUCGAAGCAAUUAUUGGGUUUUGUUUGAAUUUUCAGAUAAGGAAGAUUGUUGCUGCAAGAAUUGGAGACUGGGAUAACUGGUUUUAUUGAUAUGGGAUCAGAGAGUAUUGCUCUGAUGGUUGAGACAUUGAAAAACAGUGUACUUUCUAUUGAGUUGGAGGACAUCUCGGGCAACGGUGGCAUCUAUAUUCAAUCUGAUGGAGAGCAUUUGGGAUUCCUUCUGAUGGCAUCUAUAAGAUGGCGAUUCGUUUCAAUUUGGGUUUCUCUGAUUAAGCUAACGGUUCUCAGAUGGCGAUUCUCAUUUUUUGGUGGACCUGUAGUCAUGAAUACCAGAUGAUCAUGUCAGUAAUAUGAAUACCAUAUUAUUAGCGUGCGCACAAAAAUAUGAAGAAUAUCGACCUUCCCAUCACUGAUUCACACUCUUCCCAUUCCCUGACUUUCAAACCGGAUAUCUCUUUGAUCUCCGAUCAGCCUGAUUCCGAUAAGUCAUUUUACGGUCUGAACCUCUGUUCUGGGAAUUCUGAAUGAAUCAGGCAACGAUAUUUUGCGUGAUUUAUCACUCUUACAGGUUAAUGUGCUUUGUGAAUUGUCACUUAGCUAGCUGCAUAUUUAGAAGUUUUUAAUCGGCGAAAUGUUGAUUUUGAUCACAUUUAUCGGAAUAUGGUCUUCAGCCGAUCAUCCACUCUACUUGGUACUGCAGCUGCCGGUGUCUCUACUUUGGCUCAUAUGCUUCGCGGUACAAAUAUGAGUACAUCCUUAGCGGUAUAAAUGUUGUAUUGCAACUAUGGUGCAUGAUAGGAUGACUGAAUCUGUUAAUACUAAGAAGCUAACUUCCUUUGAGACCAGUGUAGUUCCAGAGGAGUUUUUUUAUAUACCUGUCAUGGAGAAGGGGAGGAAAGCGUUGAAGGAGAUUAAUCUGGAGAUGGGUUUCGCUUUUGAUGAACAGGAUUUGGAAGACUACACCAAACUUUUCACAGAUGACAUUAAGCGUAAUCUAACAAAUGUGGAGUUGUUUGAUAUUGCUCAGUCAGUCCAACAGCGAACAUAGUAGGCACUGUAUUUUCUGUCAUUUGUUUCUCAUCUAUAUAAUUUCUUGCUUCUCUGUCACUUAUUAUCACUCAUGGCUAAUGAUCACUCAUACCAUAUUAUGGCUAAUGUAAGUAUCUCUCCUUCAUGCAUUCUUAUUUAAAUGAACUUUGGUAUUUGUUGUUGAGGUUAAAAAGUUUGUUGAUCUUGGCUGAAGCGGACUCGCCAUCAUUGUUGUUUUUUGUUUCUGUCGUGGGAGUUUUAUGAUUCUAUGUUCUUCUGCUGUUUUAGAGUGGAAAUCAAAGUCAGAGGAUUAUGAAAAGGAAAUCCAUGAAUGGAAGAAGAAAAAUUCUGCAGCCACUACAAACUUAUCCUAACUGAAUUGUCAGAUAAGCUCAAAGGAGGCACAGAUUGAGCAGAUGUUUGGGCAAAAGCAGGAGAUAAACGAGAAGUGUGAACUAGAGCAGAUUAGCCUUCCAACCAUAUCAUAUCCUAAGGAUACUGAUAGCUCAACACCGGGUCCGGUUUGUGACUUUGAUCAACUCAGCAGGCCAAUAAAAGAUAGGAAACUCUCUGGCAGGGAUAAAAUAGAGAUAAAUCGGCGUGGAAAACAUAUGAAAAAUUUCUUAGGGAAAUGUUGAUGGUAAGAAAUGCAAUAACAAGGGUGUGGCUGAAGCAAUUUUAGGAACUUUAGGUCUUUCUAAUAUAGGACAAGUUUUUCCCGUUAAUGAUCCUAAGUGGAAGGGUUGUGACUCUUCUGUGUUCGUCCAUGAAUCUGUGAGUAAUAUUCUAUUUCUAUGUAUAUAUACCUAACUUUCUGCUUCAGUUUCUCCAUUAAAAUCUCAUUUAAGUAUUAGUGUUUUCUGUUUUUUUAGUUUCUUUGAAUUGAGUUUUAUUUUCUAUGGAUAUGGCAAGGGAAAGAAGUCAUGUACAGUUAGAUAAUAACUGUUAGGUCUGAAGAAAUUGAACAAUGGAAAGCUUUAUGAUCAGGCUGCCAAGAUUAAAGUACCUAUGUUUGUGCGUUUAUUUCGCUAUUAUGCCGGUACUAUCAGUAACAACAAUUGCAUGUUCCUUAUGUCAAUAAUCCUUUUUAAAUUGUAGUAACAAAUUUGUUGUUAAUACCCCGAUUCUUACAACAUCGACUAUUUUCCCUACUAUAAAAUUACUAUAUUUUCAUUUGGAGUGAAGGCAGGUUUGCAUGUUUAAUUUCUUUGUGUUUAUGACAGAAAACACAUGAUAAUUCAAAUUCAGUUGGAAACACAAAAGUCUCAUAUGAUGAUCUCGCCUGCAGUGUAUGCUUGGAGAAGGUUAAUGUCGGAGAUGUACUUCGUAGCUUGCCAUGCCUUCAUCAGGUCAGUUUAGUUGCUCUGCAUUUUUACAUUUCAACAAAUAGUUUGUUUCUAUUUGUUUGAUGAUAUACCCUGCCAGUUCAACUUAGUCAUCUCAACUUAGUCAUUCUACGCGGUCUGUUGUCCGAAGAAGAGUCGAGAAUUCAAUCCAAUUGAUUGAAGUCGAAGCGAUCCAAUGAGUAUUGUUUGAGAGUCUCCGACGUCGGUGUUUAAAAUCAGAUAAGUGUCUCAUUUCAUAUAGCUUAGCUGAUUUAAUCUGCUGCUUUUAGACUGUUGAAUUUUGUUAUCUCUAUUGUCAUGGACUUGCUUAUGCAAAUUCGUUGUUACAGAAAGUUCUAAGUGGUGAUAAAAAUUUUGUCAGUUUCGACACAUGCUAACUGGUCGUCAUUCAGAUGUGUAAGUUGAUUUCUGUCUUUUCUAAUUCUAUUUCACUUGCUAUUAAUUGAUGGUGCAAGAUUGCUUCUUGGAGUACAUUAUCAUGAAUUCGGUAAUUGAGAAAUGAUAUGUUUGGAUGAAAGGCUUGGUCUUAUGACAUGUAACAAUUAUAACAAACUUUAGUUUAGCGGCCUGAUCCAUAUAAAUUAGCAACACAUUGGGAACUAUUGCAGUAUUAUGACAUCAGAAAGACAUGCGACGAAACAUUGUGUUAAGACUUCUCAAAUAUCGAGACUCUUCUAAAUAAGAAGACAGUUAGAGAUGAUUUAGGUGUUGGGAAUAUAGAAUUUGUUUCAUGCAGAAAAGUAGUAUAUAAUGCUAUGCUGCAAGAUUGGAUGACAAACCUCGAAGUGGAUAUUCCUUCACUUCUUGCAGAUGGAAUCAAGGUUCUUAUAUAUGCCAGAGAAUUUGAUUGUAUUUGCAAUUGGUUGGUCAAUGAUAUAUUCUAGCACUAUAGGACAUUUCAAACUUUUAUCAUGUUAUGCUUAUUUGAAAUCAUAUGACAGGGAAUUCAAAUUGGGUUCAUAGCAUGAAGUGGUCAGGUCAAAAACAGUCUGUGCCAUCGAAAACAGUUCAGUUUUUGGUUGAUGGUACAAAAGCAGGAUUGUUGAAUAGCUAUGGACAUGGACCUCUAUAUUUUCUAAAGGUGAAUGCUGCUGGACAUAUGGUUCCUAUGGAUCAACCAAAAAAGCUGCACUUCAGAUGUUGGUAAGCUGGAUAGAAGGGAACCUGAAUGAGACAAGCUCUUAACUUCUAUGUAAAUUGAUACAAACAUGUCAAGUGAAUCUAUAUUCUAAAUCAGCUUUGUGAUUAAAAUGCCUAACCCAUGGGACAAUCAUCUGUUGAUUGUGCGAAGAUCCCUUCCAUGCCUAAUGUUUCCUUCACCAUUGGUGGAAAAACGUUUGACCUUGCCCCACAAGAGGAUCCUUGGAGAUAUCUUCAUGGGACGCUAUCAUACCGUCUUUGAUUAUGGUAAACUCAGAGUUGGAUUUGCCGAAGCAGCAUAGAGAAUCUGCUCAUACCUCUCGCAGAAUGCAUCCUUUAUUUGCUAGCCCUAUUUUUCUCUUCAAAAAUCAGUAAAAUGGAACAAAAAAUAUCAAGGGAAAGAACAACCUCAGUAUUAUUUGGCAACAGUUAUUCGAUAAUAUUUUGUAUAACUUUGCAUUCAAAAUGGUCCUUAAAUUGUGGUUGUGUAUAUAUAUAUUGGUUUUAAUAUUCUCGCAGUCGCUCCCCCAGCUAUUAUUAUAUGCAUUUAGAUUUCUGGA